AGUUCAAAGACACAGAAAAUUAGAAUCUUACCAAUGGCGGGUCGUGAUCCUGAAGGCCAACACACACAAGUGAUGAAGAAGAAAGAAGAACGCUUGAGGGCUUCCACUCAACGGGAGUCUCAGGGAAUCCAUCUGCGGGAGAAGCGCUACCAGGAGUGGCCAAGUGUCUCCUACCAGGACCCUGGCAGUGACAGUGCAGAGGAGGAAGGCAAGCACACCUUCAGCCUGGCUGCUAUUAAAAACUAUUAUCAAGGUGAACUCCAAAGUGAGUCAGGUAAACCUUCCAGAAAGAGGAAAGCAGAGCAUGAAGAGGAAGAAGAUGAUAUAAAGCCCUAAAAUGUGCACUCAUUGUAUUCAAUAGUUUGUUUUAAAACAAUUAUGAAAUGACUUGUUUUAACUGAAGUUGAGUUGCUUUUGCAUAAUCCUAGUUGUGAAUAAAAAGUUUUCAAAAGCAA
RNA transcript from Homo sapiens (human), 455 nucleotides. It is a transcript of the gene named LEO1 pseudogene 1, with no coding region annotated. The record is from RefSeq and is marked validated. The transcript is spliced from 3 exons. Lineage: Eukaryota; Metazoa; Chordata; Mammalia; Primates; Hominidae.